Molecule: ribosomal RNA, 506 nt
Filed under: uncultured bacterium
Lineage: Bacteria
Description: partial 16S ribosomal RNA
Rfam family: Bacterial small subunit ribosomal RNA
Source: RNAcentral
AUUGAACGCUGGCGGCAUGCCUUACACAUGCAAGUCGAACGGCAGCAUGGAAGAGCUUGCUCUUCUGAUGGCGAGUGGCGAACGGGUGAGUAAAGCAUCGGAACGUACCGUGUAGUGGGGGAUAACGUAGCGAAAGUUACGCUAAUACCGCAUACGCACUGAGGUGGAAAGCAGGGGAUCGCAAGACCUUGCGCUAUACGAGCGGCCGAUGACAGAUUAGCUAGUUGGUAGGGUAAAGGCCUACCAAGGCGACGAUCUGUAGCGGGUCUGCGAGGAUGGUCCCACACACUGGGACUGAGACACGGCCCAGACUCCUACGGGGGGCAGCAGUGGGGAAUUUUGGACAAUGGGGGAAACCCUGAUCCAGCCAUGCCGCGUGAGUGAAGAAGGCCUUCGGGUUGUAAAGCUCUUUCGGCUGGGAAGAAAUCGCACAGGCUAAUACUCUGUGUGGAUGACGGUACCAGCACAAGAAGCACCGGCUAACUACGUGCCAGCCGCCGCCGUAA